Molecule: non-coding RNA, 111 nt
Filed under: Lunatimonas lonarensis
Lineage: Bacteria; Pseudomonadati; Bacteroidota; Cytophagia; Cytophagales; Cyclobacteriaceae
Description: SAM-I sequence
Rfam family: SAM riboswitch aptamer (S box leader)
About the family: The SAM riboswitch is found upstream of a number of genes which code for proteins involved in methionine or cysteine biosynthesis in Gram-positive bacteria. The SAM riboswitch acts at the level of transcription termination control.
Source: Rfam by way of RNAcentral
GAUUUAUACAGAAGAGGUGAGAGACAGGCUCGAUGACCCUCUGGCAACCUGGAAAGACCAAGGUGCCAAUUCCUGCCGGGAGACCAACAUAGGAUCCUGGAAAUAUAAAGU